AUUUGAUCCUGGCUCAGGACGAACGCUGGCGGCGUGCCUAAUACAUGCAAGUCGAACGAGAAUUGCUUACACCGAGUGCUUGCACUCACCGUAAGGAAUUCGAGUGGCGGACGGGUGAGUAACACGUGGGUAACCUGCCUAUCAGAGGGGGAUAACACUUGGAAACAGGUGCUAAUACCGCAUAAUAUUGAAAAGCGCAUGCUUUUCAAUUAAAAGGCGCUUCUGGUGUCACUGAUAGAUGGACCCGCGGCGUAUUAGCUAGUUGGUGAGGUAACGGCCUACCAAGGCAAUGAUACGUAGCCGAGUUGAGAGACUGAUCGGCCACAAUGGGACUGAGACACGGCCCAUACUCCUACGGGAGGCAGCAGUAGGGAAUCUUCCACAAUGGGCGCAAGCCUGAUGGAGCAACGCCGCGUGCGUGAAGAAGGUCUUCGGAUCGUAAAGCGCUGUUGUUAGAGAAGAACACGGAUAAGAGUAACUGUUUAUGCGUUGACGGUAUCUAACCAGAAAGUCACGGCUAACUACGUGCCAGCAGCCGCGGUAAUACGUAGGUGGCAAGCGUUGUCCGGAUUUAUUGGGCGUAAAGGGAACGCAGGCUGUUUUUUAAGUCCGAUGUGAAAGCCUUCGGCUUAACCGAAGAAGUGCAUUGGAAACUGGGAGACUUGAGUGCAGAAGAGGAGAGUGGAACUCCAUGUGUAGCGGUGAAAUGCGUAGAUAUAUGGAAGAACACCAGUGGCGAAAGCGGCUCUCUGGUCUGUAACUGACGCUGAGGUUCGAAAGCAUGGGUAGCGAACAGGAUUAGAUACCCUGGUAGUC
Molecule: ribosomal RNA, 816 nt
Filed under: uncultured bacterium
Lineage: Bacteria
Description: bacterial SSU rRNA
Rfam family: Bacterial small subunit ribosomal RNA
Source: RNAcentral